CAAAGUAUCCGCCAGAAAAUUACGGGCGAAAAGCCUAAAACUCAAAGGACUUGGCGGUGCUCCACACCCGACUUAGAGGAGCCUGUCCUAUAAUCGAUACCCCACGAUAAACCUCACCAUUCAUUGGCAAGACAGCCUAUAUACCGCCGUCGACAACUUACCCCAUGAGGGCAUAACAGUAGGUAAAACAGUUUCGCCAACUAAAACGUCAGGUCAAGGUGUAGCUUAUAGAAUGGAAGAGAUGGGCUACAUUUUUUAAAAUAAAACACACGGCAUGGAACCGUGAAACCAGUUCCUAAAGGAGGAUUUAAUAGUAAAAUUAACAAGAAAAUUAAUUU
This 338-nucleotide ribosomal RNA is filed under the name Cophosaurus texanus scitulus. RNAcentral describes it as "partial 12S ribosomal RNA". It matches the Rfam family "Bacterial small subunit ribosomal RNA", at positions 861 to 1363 of the family's 1533-position model. Lineage: Eukaryota; Metazoa; Chordata; Lepidosauria; Squamata; Phrynosomatidae. The record is from RNAcentral.